This is a long non-coding RNA of Tupaia belangeri chinensis (Chinese tree shrew), 1850 nucleotides long. RefSeq lists it as uncharacterized. The record is from RefSeq and is a predicted model, not a curated record. The transcript is spliced from 4 exons. Lineage: Eukaryota; Metazoa; Chordata; Mammalia; Scandentia; Tupaiidae.
UUAUAUUUUUGACUUGGAUUUACCUGUGUUUCUUUGUCUACUCAUUGUCUUCUGACACUCAAUCAUGAUAACUGAGGGGGAUUUACUUCUGGGAACAUGACCCAAAUGUGGCAGCUCUCACAGACUAUAGCAAAUAGUAAACAAAAGCCAAGGGAAUAGACAAGAAUUCAGUGACAUGAGCAGGACAGCUACAAAGAAAAGAAAUGUUAUUGAUGGUGAUGAGGAAAUGAGGGACUAGUUUAACCAGCCUCACAGAAAAGUCUUUUGUAAACACUCUUCAGAUUUUUAUGCUUCUCUAUCCACAAGAAAACCGUUCUCUUAUAAAUUCACACAGUAAAUCACGUUCUGAGCCCAGAUUCUAUUUCCUACCUCCUACAUUUAUAAUCAACUACUCUAACUAGUAAAUGUUUGCUAGUUCAGUUGGGUAAGUCAAUGGUGAUUAACGAUAAGGUCUUAGCAGUUUCAAUAUUAAUAGAUGUCUACCACAUGCCUUCAGAGCUCAAGAUAUUUUACCCGUGUUAUUUUAUUGAUUCCCUUCUGCAGUCUUCUACAGUAAUUAUUGUUGUCCUUUUUCUUACAGUCAAAGAAACCAAGACUUAGAUAAAUUAAGUUCUUUAAGAACACACUGGAGCAUCUUCUUGUGACUGAGGGACUACCUGUUUGACUGCAUCAUUCCUCCAGAUUUUACUUCUGGAUUCCUCUGUAUCACCCAAGUUUCGACUGGGGUUUGAACCUGGGAAGCGUUCACAAUAAAUGGGAAAGGAAGACAAGAAACAUGGCAUUACUUGAAAUAUGUCCCUACCCAAGAAAGACUGAGGUUCCACGUGGGAAUACGUUUAUUCUACACACACAUCAGGAUGCUAAUGCUCAGAUGUGGAAAGGAUUCUGACGUUUUGGGGAAGUCACAGCAGAUGGACUCAAUGUGGACAUUGAGAAAGAUGCUACAUGUUCUUCCUUUCAUGGAAACUUCAAGUCUAGGAAACAGAAGAGUGUGAUUCAUACCUCCAGAGACCCACAGGGAGUGUCACGCUCCAUAAAAUUACUUAUGCAUUUAUAUACGUGCUUCAGCACCAUCUCCUGGCAAGGGGAUACAAGUUAAGCACCUUCCAUAUGCAGCAAGGAAAACCCCUUCGGCAAGAAAGUCUACCCAUUGGCAUGCACAAAUCAGACUAGCUGCAGUUUUGCUGUGUCAAAAGGAACAUUCACCAUGCUUAAUGAGAGGCACUGGAUUAAUGCUGGCUGUUUUUAGCAGAAGGAAUGUUCAGAUGCUUGGGAAAAUGGGAAAACAAGGUACCUGGAGGGCACAGUGAAGGUCAUGUACUCACACUGGAAAACGUGGGUGGUUUUUUUGUUUUUGUUUUUAUGCCUGUAAAUACAGUCUCCAGUACGUAUGGUGUCUGUGUGUGAAAUACACAUCUGUAUUUUAGGUCCUUCUAGUGCCACUCAUGUUUAAUUUAUAACGCUGGAAGACCAACACUAUCUUGUCACUGAGGACCAGACAACCCUUCAAGUAGUCUUUUUCUCCUUUACAGAAAGAAAGUCCUGAGAACAUGGUUGUAGCUGGAUAUAUCCCUAGACCUCUCACUUUGUGUGCCAACUUGAUUGUUCUUUCCAUUAAUUUUUCACACAAUUACUCUGAAGUGCUCCAAAUUGGCAACUAAGAAGGGCCAAAUGACAAGAUAUCAAUUUUAUUUUCAAGAUAUUGUUACUUUAGAGUCUCAGAGAAUGUGGGUGAUACUCUCUUGGAAAGAGAACAUUUUGAAAGUAUUUAAUAAGGGAAAUUUUGUGGUCAAAUUCCAAAACUGAUUUAAAGAGAUAUUUAUUAAGAAAAAUCUAUUUCUUUGACCAGU